RNAcentral lists this ribosomal RNA (373 nucleotides) under uncultured Bacteroidota bacterium. RNAcentral describes it as "bacterial SSU rRNA". It matches the Rfam family "Bacterial small subunit ribosomal RNA", at positions 521 to 896 of the family's 1533-position model. The record is from RNAcentral. Lineage: Bacteria; Pseudomonadati; Bacteroidota.
UAAUACGGAGGGUGCAAGCGUUAUCCGGAUUUAUUGGGUUUAAAGGGUGCGCAGGCGGGCUGGUCAGUCAGUGGUGAAAUCCCGGGGCUCAACUCCGGAACUGCCAUUGAUACUGCCAGUCUUGAAUACGGUUGAGGUAGGCGGAAUGUAGCAUGUAGCGGUGAAAUGCAUAGAUAUGCUACAGAACACCGAUCGCGAAGGCAGCUUACCAAGCCGAUAUUGACGCUCAGGCACGAAAGCGUGGGGAGCGAACAGGAUUAGAUACCCUGGUAGUCCACGCCGUAAACGAUGAUCACUCGUUGUUGGCGACACAUAGUCAGCGACCAAGCGAAAGCGAUAAGUGAUCCACCUGGGGAGUACGCUCGCAAGAGUG